Molecule: long non-coding RNA, 196 nt
Organism: Panthera uncia (snow leopard)
Lineage: Eukaryota; Metazoa; Chordata; Mammalia; Carnivora; Felidae
Exons: 3
Source: RefSeq, a predicted model, not a curated record
AGAGAGGUGAGUGCUCAGGCAUAAAUCUUUUCAAGACUUCUUUGUAGAGGAAUGAUUGUUUUUACAUUAGAAUAAUAACAGUUCCAGAAGAUACAGGCUAAAGACAGGAGAUGACACAAGCUGAUUUAUAUGGAGGAAUGCCAUAAUAUCAUCUUUUGGAAAAAGGGAAAGAGUGGUCUUUUGGAAUCUGACCACA